Gadus chalcogrammus (walleye pollock) is the source of this 1053-nucleotide long non-coding RNA. RefSeq lists it as uncharacterized. NCBI's taxonomy places the organism in Eukaryota, Metazoa, Chordata, Actinopteri, Gadiformes, Gadidae. The transcript is spliced from 4 exons. The record is from RefSeq and is a predicted model, not a curated record.
GCUCCUUGAAGGUAGGGUGGGCAAUCUGGAGAAACCGGCCAGAGUGAGCUUGAUUUUGUAAGAAUUUAUUUUUGAUGGCCUUCAGGCCUCAAGGCCUGCUUGCAAAUCCGCCAUAAAACACACGACUAGCUCGACUAGCCAUAGGUCUGCCUAGCCUCAUGGAAGACUCUGGCAAUGCAGAAUGAGUCCAAGGGCAUAGUGCACACAUGUAGCCAGGUUGCCAUAACACAGAUAGGUAGGCUAUCCAAUAAUUUCAUUGGGUCCACAACAGAAUCUAGUGUUUUUUAUUAUGAUUUCCUGAUUUGUUGAUUGCUGGAUGUGAAGAGAAUUUCAACACACAUGAAAAACAUCCUUCUAGGAUUUCCUGCCCUAGCUUUGACCUAUACUAUCUAUCUUUAGGAUAAAAGUGUGCAAUAGUGAAAUUUAUGCUAAUUCCCAUUCGAUAUUCCCACGUCUCCAAGCGAGUUAGCAUGUGACUCAAAGAGUGUGUUGUGUGUUGAUGUGCAGGUGCGAGAGAACGCCAAGCAGGAUCUAAAGGACGGACUGGCGCUCUACAACACAGACAACAACGUGGGAUUACGCAACGCCUGGAACAUCAUUCAAGCGGAGUGGAAGUGCUGCGGUGUGACUGCCUACAGCGACUGGCACGACGCGCUGAAGGACAAGUUUGUGCCGGACCGCUGCUGCCAGGAGCACUACCAGGAGUGUGGUCGCAACUCCACCAACAUGUUCUGGAGCAGGGGCUGCUUUGAGAAGGUGGAGGAGUGGCUGGACGACAACAAGCACCUCAUGGGAACCGUCGCCAUGGUGAUCUUGGUAGUGCAGCUUCUUGGCAUGGCGUUCUCCAUGACGCUCUUCCACCACAUCCACAGAACGGGGAAGAAGUACGACGCAUAGCCUUUGGAAGGAGCCCGGUGGAGAGCGGUCUCACCGCUCAUCACUGCCUGAUGGUACAGACUCUGGAUAGCCACCCCUGCCCGCCAUUGCUAUGUAUCCAGUCCCAUCAAUCCUCUCCUGGAAAAUGUCUGCUCAGAUUCAAGCCGUGUCCGUCCC